CCCUUAGAUGUUCUGGGCAGCACGCGCGCUACAAUGGUCUUCGCAAACGGAUGCAUUCUCGAAGGAGAAUGCCAAUCUUGGAAUCUAUGCCUUGGUCGGGACAGUUGCUUGCAAUUUUUCGACUCGAACCAGGAAUUCCUUGUAAUCGUGAUUCAUUACAUCACGAUGAAUACGUCCCUGCCCUUUGUACACACCGCCCGUCGCUCCUACCGAUCGAAGAGUUAGGUGAAUUGUUUUGAUCGAUAAGAUUUGACUAUGGUCAACUCUCGUUGUGAAAUUCUGUGAAUCUGACUGUUUAGAGGAAGGAAAAGUCGUAACA
This 319-nucleotide ribosomal RNA is filed under the name uncultured eukaryote. RNAcentral's name for it is "partial 18S ribosomal RNA". It matches the Rfam family "Eukaryotic small subunit ribosomal RNA", at positions 1470 to 1796 of the family's 1831-position model. The record is from RNAcentral.